UUUGUACUCCCUCCGUCCCGAAAUAAUUGUCGUAGAAAUGGAUACAAAUGGAUGUAUCUAGAAUUAAAAUACAUCUAGAUACGUCCAUUACUCGGACAAGUAUUUCCGGACGAAGGGGGUACAUG
This is a non-coding RNA of Triticum urartu, 125 nucleotides long. The record is from Rfam. Lineage: Eukaryota; Viridiplantae; Streptophyta; Magnoliopsida; Poales; Poaceae.